GACGAACGCUGGCGGCGUGCCUAAUACAUGCAAGUUGAGCGCUGAAGGUUGGUACUUGUACCGACUGGAUGAGCAGCGAACGGGUGAGUAACGCGUGGGGAAUCUGCCUUUGAGCGGGGGACAACAUUUGGAAACGAAUGCUAAUACCGCAUAAAAACUUUAAACACAAGUUUUAAGUUUGAAAGAUGCAAUUGCAUCACUCAAAGAUGAUCCCGCGUUGUAUUAGCUAGUUGGUGAGGUAAAGGCUCACCAAGGCGAUGAUACAUAGCCGACCUGAGAGGGUGAUCGGCCAAAUUGGGACUGAGACACGGCCCAAACUCCUACGGGAGGCAGCAGUAGGGAAUCUUCGGCAAUGGACGAAAGUCUGACCGAGCAACGCCGCGUGAGUGAAGAAGGUUUUCGGAUCGUAAAACUCUGUUGGUAGAGAAGAACGUUGGUGAGAGUGGAAAGCUCAUCAAGUGACGGUAACUACACAGAAAGGGACGGCUAACUACGUG
RNAcentral lists this ribosomal RNA (497 nucleotides) under uncultured bacterium. RNAcentral describes it as "partial 16S ribosomal RNA". It matches the Rfam family "Bacterial small subunit ribosomal RNA", at positions 28 to 507 of the family's 1533-position model. The record is from RNAcentral.